GGCUUCACUGGCUCAGCCGGUGGCGGUGCAGGUUUUGGCGGUUUCACUGGCUCCGCUGGUGGCGGUGCAGGUUUAGGAUUUUCAGGUUCCUUGGGUUUAUCUGCCGGUUUAGGUUUUUCAGGCUCUUUGGGUUUCUCUGCCGGUUUAGGUUUUUCAGGCUCUUUGGGUUUCUCAGUCGUCGGUUUAGGUUUUUCGGGCACUUUGGGUUUCUCUGCCGGUUUAGGUUUUUCGGGCUCUUUGGGUUUCUCGGCCGGUGGUGGCUUGGGCUUCUCUGGCUCUUUGAUCUCAAUGCUUUUUAUGGCACCUCCACCUUUGCAG
This 318-nucleotide long non-coding RNA is filed under the name Malus domestica (apple). RNAcentral's name for it is "long non-coding RNA (MDOM_LNC005430)". The record is from RNAcentral. Lineage: Eukaryota; Viridiplantae; Streptophyta; Magnoliopsida; Rosales; Rosaceae.